UACGGAGGGUGCAAGCGUUAAUCGGAAUUACUGGGCGUAAAGCGCACGUAUGCGGCUUGUUAAGCCAGAUGUGAAAGCCCCGGGCUCAACCUGGGAACUGCAUUUGGAACUGGCAAGCUAGAGUAUGAGAGAGGCAAGUGGAAUUUCCAGUGUAGCGGUGAAAUGCGUAGAGAUUGGAAAGAACAUCAGUGGCGAAGGCGACUUGCUGGCUUAAUACUGACGCUGAGGUGCGAAAGCGUGGGGAGCAAACAGG
Molecule: ribosomal RNA, 253 nt
Filed under: uncultured bacterium
Lineage: Bacteria
Description: partial 16S ribosomal RNA
Rfam family: Bacterial small subunit ribosomal RNA
Source: RNAcentral